GAACACAGAAGUUAGACGCUGAGGAACAAAACAACAGCGUGGGAAUAAGCACGAGAAAAGGGCAGCAUCGGAUGGUGGUCUGCAGCAGGUUGACUUUGGAGACCAAGAAGAGGAAGCGAGUGAAGGCAGAGCCGACACUUAAAUGGUGGAAGUUGAAGAAGGAAGACUGUUGUGUGGAGUUCAGGGAGGAGGUAUCCGCCAGGUGCUCCUCGUCACCUAAUCAACUGGUCAACAAAUCAUCCAAUUUCCAUCAGCUG
Molecule: long non-coding RNA, 257 nt
Organism: Lampris incognitus (smalleye Pacific opah)
Lineage: Eukaryota; Metazoa; Chordata; Actinopteri; Lampriformes; Lampridae
Exons: 3
Source: RefSeq, a predicted model, not a curated record